Chrysemys picta bellii (western painted turtle) is the source of this 2284-nucleotide long non-coding RNA. RefSeq lists it as uncharacterized. The record is from RefSeq and is a predicted model, not a curated record. NCBI's taxonomy places the organism in Eukaryota, Metazoa, Chordata, Testudines, Emydidae.
GCGAGGGGAAGUCGAGCACUGACAAGAGCGAUGAGCUUCCUUCCUUGUGCAGCGCAGCGCCGGGCGCGGCCUGCCUGGGCCUUGAGCCCCCCAUUGGCACCGCAGCGCAGGCGAGUGCCAGGCAGGUGCCAGGACCAGCCAGGAUUCUAGCUAGGACUCACUGCAGAACUGGCCAACAGACGGAUGCUGGGAGUGGUGCCAUCCCUUCCUGUUCAUCUCAGUGGGAUGUUAACUCUGAAACCUAGUGACCACCUGUAUGACAGCCAUCAGCUGUGUCUCUGCUGGUCAGGCUGCACACGCAGAAAGUGAGCGAGAGCCCCGUGGCAUGCUUAGCCCUUCGCCACUGGCAGCCUGGCAGAGACUGGGCCACUCGCGCUGGGCAGAGGGGCUCUUCCGGGGGAGGCCAGCAAGGGGCACCAUCUGCAUCUCGUCGGGUGUCACGUCAAUGGCGCUGGGGCGAGUUGCUGCACAGACACACAGUGAGACACUUGCUGGCAGCCGAAUGGGUAGGGAAAACUGAGGCACGUAGCAAGGCGGUGACUUAGCCAAGUCACCCAGCAGUGCUGUGGCAGGAGCUCUGCCAGCUGAAUCGCCUUCAUCCCAGCCCAGUGAUCUGGCCACUAAGCCGUGCUGCCCCCGCCUGGGGUGCAGGGCUGGCGUCCACCCAUGGCCCACCAGACUCGCCCAGUUCCUGCAGCGGGUUGGUCAUGCAGCACUUUGGCACAGGGGUCCCUACAUUUCUCUCUGCAUGAGGGUGCCUAUUGUGGCCCCUCCCCUCUGGCUCCACCCAUUCCCCCCAGCUCUGGGGCCGUGGGGGAUGUUUUGCACUGGGGGGGCAGGGGGACAGGAACAUGCCCUGCCGGGGCUGGUCCCAUGGGUUUGCUCCCCUUCCCCCAGAGGGGUGGACGGCCGUGGGGAGAAAGCUUCUGCGUGGCCAGUUAGCCCGUUUCCUGCCCUACUGGCCCAGGCCCAUCCAGUGGGAUCCCGCCUCCUGCCAUCCACUGCAGAGAGAGGGGCCCUGCCCUCUGCCCACAGUCCUGCCUGGCCCCACAGCGCAGAGGCUCUGGCCAGCCCGACCUUUCCUCAGGCCCGGCCCCAUAGGGUCAGUGAGGCUUGUCUGAGGCCACCCCCCAGAUCCUCUGAGCCAGUCAGGCCGGUUUCUGCCCGGGGCUGGGCCUUGGCCGGCCCGUUCCCCUGCUGCCACCGAUCCCAUCGGCUUGGCUGCUGUGCUGGGACCUCUGCCAGACCCCUGUCUUCUCACUGCCCCCCAGCAGACAUGGAGACGCCAGGCCCCAGCUCCUCUAGCUCCCUGGGCACUGGGGCAGGCCUGUUCCCCAGGGAGCGGCUCUGCAGAGGUGGGGUGACCCAUGCCAGGGCUGCCCCCAGGGACCUGCCCAGCCCAGCUACCACCAUCCCAAGCCCGAGGCUGCCAGACCUGCCCCAGCCCAACAGCCCCCCCCUCCCCCUGAGCCGAGUUGCCGGCCUCAGUGACCCCCCCGCGGCAUGGGGAUGGGGCGCAGCGUCCGAUCCAUGUGCCGAUGGGUGGGAGUGACGCUGCGUCCCCUUGGCCAGGACGGCCCAUCUGGACGGCCCCAGAUGCGCUGUGGGAGGGAUCCACGUUGCUGGCAUAGCUGAUCACAUGCACAGUACAGAAGGAAUGCCACUCGCAAUCUGGCUCCGCCCGGAUGAGCGGGGGAGGGAAAGCCCUGCUGUAACUGUGCUGGGCGUGGGGCACUGGGACAGAACAUGGCCGCUCAGUCCCACGGGGCACUGGGACAGCUGCCUUCGAAGCACUGUGCUGAGGAGCAGGCUGCAGCGAGUGUGCCUCAGUUUCCCCAGCUGUAAAGUGGGGCUACUGACCUCGGUGGAGUGCCAGAUGAUACGGAUGUUAAACCUUAUGAUAAUGCUACUUUUAAAUUCAUACCUGUAAACAGGUUUAAAGUUUAUCACAGCAGAGAAACCAUAAAAAACCUGGUUUGCUGUGUGUGAAUGGGGAAACUGAGGCACACUGCCUCAUGGCCUUAAUGGCUGGGUGCCAAGAGAACUAUAACAACAAACUGCCUUCAAGAUAGUCGGUGACUAGCCCGCUUGCAGUAAACUAAGAGGGGAGGUGUGAUGCUCUGUACCUCGGGGGAACACCCUGCACUUCCAUGUUCAUCUUUGUAAAAUGAUUGUAUGGUAUCCAAUGCAUAGUUUGUCAUGUCGGGUGUCUUCGGAAGGCUCAUGAUGCACUGAGCAGUGUUGUUACAGUGGUGUUACAGGUUGUAAUUUCAUGUAUAUAGUU